Molecule: small RNA, 21 nt
Filed under: Arabidopsis thaliana (thale cress)
Lineage: Eukaryota; Viridiplantae; Streptophyta; Magnoliopsida; Brassicales; Brassicaceae
Description: Ath_wt_16361
Source: RNAcentral
GGCGCAAGUGAAAUACCACUA